GUGAUUAGCUUUCACGCUCCGGGUCGGCGCGCGCACGCGCAGCGGCGGAAGGCCGGGUUUCUAGAGUGCGAUGGCUGUCAAGGGUUUUGCUUUACGCCUCAGAGGCUCCCGGCGUUUUCUGAGUGGCUUUGUGGCCGGGGCUGCAGUGGGCGCCGCGGGAACGGGACUGAUGGCGCUACAGUUCUUCCGGAGUGAGGACGCGGAGCCAGCGUUGACGGCCAGGGAGCCGGACGGAUCUGAAGAAAAGGCUGUUUUGGAACAAUUUGGAUUCCCUUUAACUGGAACAGAGACCAGAUGUUACACUAAUCAUGCGCUGUCUUAUGAUCAGGCAAAGCGAGUACCUAGAUGGGUUCUUGAACAUAUAUCUAAAAGCAAGAUCAUGGGUGAUGCAGACAGAAGACAUUGUAAAUUCAAGCCUGACCCCAGUGUCCCUCCAGCAUUCAGUGCCUGCAAUGAGGACUAUGUUGGAAGUGGCUGGUCACGAGGACACAUGGCUCCGGCAGGAAAUAACAAAUUUUCAAGUAAAGCCAUGGCUGAAACCUUUUACCUUUCUAAUAUUGUGCCUCAGAAUUUUGAUAAUAAUUCUGGAUAUUGGAACAGAAUAGAAAUGUACUGUCGUGAACUGACAGAGAGGUUUGAAGAUGUUUGGAUAGUUUCGGGACCUUUGACCUUACCUCAGUCUAAAAGUGAUGGAAAGAAGACAGUUACUUAUCAGGUGAUUGGAGAGGACAAUGUGGCAGUCCCCUCACAUCUUUACAAGGUGAUCCUGGCUCGCAGAAGCCCAGAGUCUAUUGAGCCGCUGGCCCUGGGGGCCUUUGUGGUGCCCAAUGAAGCCAUUGGCUUCCAGCCUCUGUUGACCGAAUUUCAGGUGAGCCUCCAGGACCUUGAGAAGUUGUCAGGACUGGUGUUUUUCCCUCACUUGGAUAGAACUAGCAAUAUCAGGAAUAUCUGUGCAGUGGACACCUGUAAGCUCCUGGAUUUCCAGGAAUUCACUCUAUACCUGAGCACAAGAAAGAUUGCAGGAGCCCAUUCCGUGCAUAAGCUGGAAAAAGUCAUGGAAAAUUUGAAGAAUGCAGGGAUUGAACCAGAUGAUUACUUCCUGAGCCGCUAUGAGAAGAAACUAGAAGAACUAAAAGCCAAGGAACAGCUGGGUACCCAGACAAGAAAACCAUUCUAAUUACCUCAGAAGAUAAGUGCUGAUCCACUAUAAGGAAGCAGCCCCAGUUACUCCUAGGCACAAGAUAUCCUACCUCUGGUGAUGUCCUCUAAGGUGGCAGGGGUGGGAGCAGUGACAAGCGGAGCCCUAGCACCCCUGAGGCUUGAGCACAGCUGGCUCCUUGUUAAGACUGCCAGGCAGCACAACAUUUUAGUUCCCUCUCACUGCCCAUGAAGGAUCCCUGGCUUCUCCUGCCAGCUCCCAAUUGACAUGCUCUGUGCCUACUCAUGCCCCCUGCCUCCACUCUCCCUGCUGCUUCUAAGAAUGCGUUGGACCCCUUGCCAGCCAUGCCACUGAAACACAGGUGACAGAGACCAGGCCUGGGGCACCGAUGGAAGAGCACUGGCCUGGGGGUGUUUACCCUAGCUGAGUGGAGCCCCGGACAACAUGACAUGACUGCACCCUCUUUACUCUGGCCCCUCCUCAGGGAUGAAAACACUCUGAAGAGGGAAAUGGGAGUGACAGGAAGAAGUCCUGUAGAGGUUCACCGUCAUCAUCGCCGUCGUCAUCCCGGAUGUAAUUUAAGUGCUCACUAUGUGCCAGGGACUAUUGUAAAUUCUUACAUGUCUUAUACAAUCCCCUUAUGCCUGAGGAAGAAAGUGUUCUUAUCCCUGUGUCACAGAGGAGGAGGCACGACAGACUAACGCAGAGAAGCCAUGGCACAGUGAUGAUGUCACACGCCAGGGCGCCUUGCUGCUUUACCUGAUGUCAGCACUGCAUAUAAAGUGUUCAUGUGAAGCUCUAGCUGGAAGGGUGGCCAAUAAACAUGAAAAGAUGCUCAGCAUUGUUAGUCAUGGAAAUGCACAUUAAAAUUAGACACUCCCACUGAAAUGGCUAAAUUUAAUUAAAGGCAAAGUACAAAGACUGACAAUUCCAAAUGUUGGCAAUAAGAACUCUCGCUGAAUGAAAAACAUACUUUGGAGACCAUUUUGACAGUUCCUUAUAAAAUUAAGGAUGUACUACUCAUGUAACCCUAAAGUUCUUUUACUAGGUAUUUACCCAAAAGAUAAAAACACAUGACCACACAGAUGCCCAUAUACACACGUCCAUAGCAGCUUUAUCGUAGCCCAAAAUUUGCAAACAACCCAGUAUUCAUCAACUAUCGAAUAGAAAACGAAGCGCAAUACAUCCUUAUGACAGAUACUUCUCAACAGGCCAGCGUAACAGGCUGGUGCAUGUAACAACAUGGGUCCAAGUGCAUUAGGCUCAGGGAAAGCAGCCAGGUGCAGGAGGCUACAUACAAUGUGAUUUCAUUUAUUGAAAUUCUCCAGAAAACGCAAAUCUAUAGGAACAAGAAACAGUGGUUCCAGGAGCUGGGGGUAGUGGAAAGGGUUGACUGUGAAGGAGACAAUAGAACUUGGCAUGGUGGGAAUGUUCAGUAUCUUAAUGAAGGUGGUGGCUACCUUGUGUAUGCAUUUGUCAAAACUUUCCAAGCUGUGCAUUUAAAAGAGGGAGUUUAAUUGUAUAUAAAUUAUACCUCAUUAGCCUGAUUUAAAAAUUAAAACAAAGGUAUGGGGAAGGGAAGAAAUUAAGAUGAUCAUGGUUCAUAUCUUACUUUUCUGUUGCUGG
Fukomys damarensis (Damara mole-rat) is the source of this 2785-nucleotide RNA transcript. It is a transcript of the gene named exo/endonuclease G, with no coding region annotated. The record is from RefSeq and is a predicted model, not a curated record. Lineage: Eukaryota; Metazoa; Chordata; Mammalia; Rodentia; Bathyergidae. The transcript has 8 exons.